AACCUGCGAGGUCUUAACGACAGAGACCAGUGCAUGGCUGUUCGCUCUACUGUCAUCUCUUCCAAUGCCUCAGUUGUAUGCUUGCAAGAAACCAAAGUCAAAACUUUAACUCCCUAACUCGUUCUUGAAACAGUGGGAUCAGAGUUUGAUGGUUACACUCGUCUCCCAGCAAUUGGUACUUCGGGUGGGAUUCUCCUAGGUUGGAAGAGUCGUUGUGUCUCCCUGACCAAUGUGACGCUUACCAAUAACGCCGUCUCAGCCCAGGUUUCCUCCCCGGCUGGGCAAUGGUAG
This 291-nucleotide ribosomal RNA is filed under the name Triticum aestivum (bread wheat). RNAcentral's name for it is "partial small subunit ribosomal RNA". The record is from RNAcentral. Lineage: Eukaryota; Viridiplantae; Streptophyta; Magnoliopsida; Poales; Poaceae.